UACAGAGGGUGCGAGCGUUAAUCGGAAUUACUGGGCGUAAAGCGCACGUAGGUGGCGACGUAAGUCGGGUGUGAAAGCCCCGGGCUCAACCUGGGAAUUGCAUUCGAGACUGCAUUGCUGGAGUACGGAAGAGGAAGGCGGAAUUCCCGGUGUAGCGGUGAAAUGCGUAGAUAUCGGGAGGAACAUCAGUGGCGAAGGCGGCCUUCUGGUCCAGUACUGACACUCAAGUGCGAAAGCGUGGGGAGCGAACAGG
This 253-nucleotide ribosomal RNA is filed under the name uncultured bacterium. RNAcentral describes it as "partial 16S ribosomal RNA". It matches the Rfam family "Bacterial small subunit ribosomal RNA", at positions 524 to 776 of the family's 1533-position model. The record is from RNAcentral.